ACAUGCAAGUCGAGCGGUAGAGAGAAGCUUGCUUCUCUUGAGAGCGGCGGACGGGUGAGUAAUGCCUAGGAAUCUGCCUAGUGGUGGGGGAUAACGUUCGGAAACGGACGCUAAUACCGCAUACGUCCUACGGGAGAAAGCGGGGGACCUUCGGGCCUCGCGCCAUUAGAUGAGCCUAGGUCGGAUUAGCUAGUUGGUGAGGUAAUGGCUCACCAAGGCGACGAUCCGUAACUGGUCUGAGAGGAUGAUCAGUCACACUGGAACUGAGACACGGUCCAGACUCCUACGGGAGGCAGCAGUGGGGAAUAUUGGACAAUGGGCGAAAGCCUGAUCCAGCCAUGCCGCGUGUGUGAAGAAGGUCUUCGGAUUGUAAAGCACUUUAAGUUGGGAGGAAGGGUAGUAACUUAAUACGUUGCUACUUUGACGUUACCGACAGAAUAAGCACCGGCUAACUUCGUGCCAGCAGCCGCGGUAAUACGAAGGGUGCAAGCGUUAAUCGGAAUUACUGGGCGUAAAGCGCGCGUAGGUGGUUCAGUAAGUUGGAAGUGAAAUCCCCGGGCUCAACCUGGGAACUGCUUUCAAAACUGCUGAGCUAGAGUACGGUAGAGGGUGGUGGAAUUUCCUGUGUAGCGGUGAAAUGCGUAGAUAUAGGAAGGAACACCAGUGGCGAA
RNAcentral lists this ribosomal RNA (671 nucleotides) under unidentified microorganism. RNAcentral describes it as "bacterial SSU rRNA". It matches the Rfam family "Bacterial small subunit ribosomal RNA", at positions 53 to 719 of the family's 1533-position model. The record is from RNAcentral.